UUCAAACUUCACUCUAAGCACAUAUACUAACUACAUAUAAGUACUAAUGAAAACUACAUGUAAAAUCCCAAUUCCAUUAAUAAGUUUCUAACACAUUAAUUCAAUAAAACACGUACAUGAGCAAAUAAGUAUGCAAAGGUAUUACAACAAAGAAGAGUGGAAUUACAUACACACUGGGUGAAGGGUUUCAAAGACUGUAAACCCAUUUCUGAAUCCCAAAUCCCUAGUGAAGUUCACUUUUGAAGAUUUAAUAUUUGUGCAAUAAUAUUAAUGCCUAUUGGCUGCCAGUAAUUUAGAAAGUUAGAGUUUGAAACUCCGGUAUCCCUCCCCCUUAGUUAAUUGCUAAUAUAUCCAAAACAAAAAAUUAUGAUGCCAAAUAAGAUACAUGCACAAUUAUAGACAUGAAUGAAAACUCUUAAAUUUUGAAACAAACGGUGAGACCAAAAUUAUGGUGCCAUAUUGAAAACACAAAAUAUAAGGCAAAAUAUAUAUAUAAAGUGUCUUGUGGUUUAGGUUCAUGUGGUUUGAAUUAUGACAACUAAGUACCUUGUGGUUAAGUCUAUUAGCCAAAAAAAGGUACAAACACCUUAACUCCGUUAAUGGUUGCUGAUAUGGCACUAUUUCUCUGCUUGCCACGUCAACAAUCGUAUCAGCAGCCAUUAACAACGUUAGGGUGUUUGAACUUUUUUCGCUAACAGAUUUAACUGUAUGAUACUAAUUUGUAAAUACCAAACCACAAGAAUGACCGUGAAAAUGACUCAAACCACAUGGCACUUUUUGUAUUUCCCCCUACAAUAUAAGAAAUGAACAAAGAAAUAGAGACCCUCUGAAAACAUUGAAAGGAAAGUUGUAUAAAGCACAAAUUACUAAAUUCACAAGUAAAACACAAUACCAAACCUAUGAAUAAUAAAUAUCAAAGAGCCUUAAUGUGAUUGUUUGAAAAAACAUCCCAAACAAAGUAGUUCAAAGCUUCAGUAAAAAAAUCUAGUUUUCCUAAACUAACCAUCAAUUUUGUUCUAUCAGCAUGCAAAAUUCCAACAAAUUUUCAUAGAAUGAAAGAAAUAUCACUUGAUUUAAGCUGGCAUUUGAAUGAGCUAAAUAUUGAGGAAGAAUAUAAAGAACAACAAUGCUUUUUUAGCAUUGAACUGCAG
This 1151-nucleotide unclassified non-coding RNA is filed under the name Hevea brasiliensis (rubber tree). The record is from RNAcentral. Lineage: Eukaryota; Viridiplantae; Streptophyta; Magnoliopsida; Malpighiales; Euphorbiaceae.